Molecule: small nuclear RNA, 163 nt
Organism: Phodopus roborovskii (desert hamster)
Lineage: Eukaryota; Metazoa; Chordata; Mammalia; Rodentia; Cricetidae
Product: U1 spliceosomal RNA
Exons: 1
Source: RefSeq, a predicted model, not a curated record
AUAGUUACUUGGCUAGGGGAGAUACCAUAUCACCAAGGUGGUUUUCCCAGGGCAAGUCUUGUCCAUUGCACUCAGAUAACCUGAUCCCUGAGAUUUCUCCAAAUGCAGGAAAUUCAACUGCAUGAUUUGUGGCAGUGGGGGACUGCAUUCCUGCUCUCCCUGA